This 443-nucleotide ribosomal RNA is filed under the name uncultured bacterium. RNAcentral describes it as "partial 16S ribosomal RNA". It matches the Rfam family "Bacterial small subunit ribosomal RNA", at positions 338 to 795 of the family's 1533-position model. The record is from RNAcentral.
ACUACGGGUGGCAGCAGUGGGGAAUAUUGGGCAAUGGGCGCAAGCCUGACCCAGCAACGCCGCGUGAAGGAAGAAGGCUUUCGGGUUGUAAACUUCUUUUCUCAGGGACGAAGCAAGUGACGGUACCUGAGGAAUAAGCCACGGCUAACUACGUGCCAGCAGCCGCGGUAAUACGUAGGUGGCAAGCGUGAUCCGGAUUUACUGGGUGUAAAGGGCGUGUAGGCGGGAAAGCAAGUCAGAUGUGAAAACCAUGGGCUCAACCUGUGGCCUGCAUUUGAAACAGUUUUUCUUGAGUACUGGAGAGGCAGACGGAAUUCCUGGUGUAGCGGUGAAAUGCGUAGAUAUUAGGAGGAACACCAGUGGCGAAGGCGGUCUGCUGGACAGCAACUGACGCUGAGGCGCGAAAGCGUGGGGAGCAAACAGGAUUAGAUACCCGAGUAGUC